This 4881-nucleotide long non-coding RNA is filed under the name Sus scrofa (pig). Its description in RNAcentral is "lncRNA (ENSSSCG00040012706.1)". The record is from RNAcentral. Lineage: Eukaryota; Metazoa; Chordata; Mammalia; Artiodactyla; Suidae.
GAGAAUGUCUGGUUUCCCUUUGGCUAUGCAAGGCCGGAGCAGGGGGACCAGGACGGAGGGCUAGAGGCCUGAAAGCUUCUGGGAAAAUUCACGGCACUGAGAGCAUGAAUCGGCCAGCUUUCUACCGUUUGGAGAGGAGCAUCAACUUCUAGAAACACCGGCGUCGUGAUGGAUGCCCAUCUCUGCUGGUUUGCCAAGGGCGUCCCUGUGUGAGCACUGAAAAUCUGGCAUCCAGGACAGCCUUCAGACCCGGGAAAACUGGGACUGUUGGUCACAUGAGCUCCAUUCCAGUCCUUUUUAGUUCUGAAGCAAAAUUAAUAAGAGUAAGGACCUCUUGCAUCAUCUUCCAGAAUGUUCACCAUCAUCCUACGCAGUCGGAACUGUUAUCAUCUCCAUUUUACACCCGAGGAAACUGAGGCACAGAGAGGGAAGAGGCACCCCUGCACAACAGCAGAGCUGAGUAAAGGGGCUGGGAUUGGGAUUCUGCUGUGCUCUAGGGGGGCCAGAGUCCCCCAACUAAGAAUGGCUUUGUACCUAAGAAAAUUCAGGGUCAGUCCCUUCCUAGCCAGAUGCUUAACUUGGCAUAAAUAACAGCUAUUUGGCCAGGUUACCACGAGGGUUAAUUGAGAAAGUGUCACUGCAGGAGGCCUGACACUGCUUGUCCCUUGGGGGAGGGGGGCAGGGCAAGACCUGGCUGUGCCAAUCGGGUAAGCUGUCCUGAGGCCACCCCUUGCCGGCUGCACCGAGAAGCACCUGGGUACCAGAGCCUCCCCGCCCAGCUGUCCCCUCCACUCCCUUCCCGGGCAGUGAAGGGGGAAGCCACGGGGUGUAGGGAAAAAGAACCCGGGCAAGCCCGCUCCCAGCCCCCGUUCUGCCCUAUUUGCCCUGGGCAUCCUGGCUGCCUCUGGCCGCCACCUUGCUCAGCUGUCGAAUGGGCGCGUGAGCCCACCCCUUGGGGGUCAGGGGCGGGAAGGUGCAGGGACAUCGUGGGAUCCUGCUCCCCCCACCCCUAUCCCCGCUGUCCCUAGAAGCCCCCUCCCCAGGCGGCUCGGAAGGCGGCUCGGGCCUGCGGGUGCUGGGCUGCCGGAGGUGCGGACGUGCGUGCGGUGGGGCCGGGGCAUGAAAGGAAUGCAGGGGCCCGAGACGCGCUGUUCCUUCCGCAGGCCGCGCGUCAGCGCCGGGCAGGAAGGGCCGAGUCGGCAUCGCGUUCCCAGCCGCCCCCUCCGGGCUGGGGAAGUGGCCGAACAAUGGGGCUGCCCGGGGGACCGUGGUGGGGUGUGUGUGUGUGUGUGUGUGUGUGUGUGUGUGUGUGUGCGCGCGCGCGCGUGUCCUGAAGGAGGACAGCUGGGACAACUGGGAGAGGACCCCUUCCUGGGUUCCCGGGGCUUGUUCCCGAAGCCCGGGUGAAGAAAGGCUUUAGCAUCCUCACUGUACAGAAAACAGACACGGGGCGGGGGUGGGGGGCGCCACCCGAAGCAAACCGACUUCCCUGCUGAGGGCAGGGCCUGCUGCUUCUUGCAUCUUCCAGCAGUAGGUUUGGGAUGGAGGCUGGGGCGAGAGCUGAGAGGGGCUGGCUGCUGGUUCUGCAGUUCAGAAAGCGAACUGAGCUCUCCGCGCAGAAGUGAGUUCACCCGCAUCCCGGUUUUACAGGUGGGGCAGCAGAGGCUGAGAGGAGCGUGCCUUCUCAUACUGCCGGCAUGCGUUUAUUGCACCAAAAAGGAUUUAAGCUCCUAAAGAAAGAGAAAGAAUCAUAAUUCAUUCUACCUUUCCUGUCUAAAUGGUACCUCAGUGUAACCAAAUGCUUCAUGAGGGGAAGUUCCUAAUUACAGACUUGUACCUGCUUUAAAAUAUAGGAAAAAAUGAUAGAAUUAGAAACUCAUUGCGCUGCCCCAGUGGAUGAAUUGGGCAGCUACAGGUGCUCAUGUCACAAACAGCUAGACAGUAUGAGCUUCCUGUGGAAGAACAUGCCGCACCCAGGAUGUAGCCUUGCCUUAAACUCAAACCUGAAUCUGCUCAAGCCUGGAGAUUCGAACAAUUUACAGGAAAUACAGGGGACAGAGGAGCAUGGUAAGUGGGCACCUUGGGGAUGCAGGCAGCCAACUUCAGAGGUGGGAAACUCUAUAGAUAUACAGAUGGUUUCUUUUACAGGUAAAUUUCAAGAAGGGGGUGAAGGGAAACAAUCAAUCAAUUAAGCAAUGGAGGGGAAGUCAACAGAGUACAGGAGAUCUAGAGCCAUAUCAACCAAUCACCAGAUAGAGAUCUUUUUUGGGAUUCUGAUCUAAACAAAUUGUAAAACAAAUGAAAAUCAUUUAUGAAAUAAGAAAUCCAAAUAGAUCCCUAGGAAUCAAUCAUCUGGCUGGAGGCUAGUGAUCUAUUUUGAACUGAUGCCCUGAAAUGGGAUUCUGUUUUUUUCUUCUUUUAUUUUUUAAAGUUUUAUUGAAGUAUAGUUGAUUUACAACAUGGUGAUAAUUUCUUUCUUUUUUUUUGUAGGGCCACACCCACGGCAUACGGAGGUUCCCAGGCUAGGGGUCCAAUUGGAACUACAGCUGCCCACCUACGCCAGAGCCACAGCAACAUCAGAUCCGAGCCUCGUCUUUGAUCUACACCACAGCUUAGGGCAACACCAGAUCCUUAAUCCACUGAGUGAGACCAGGGAUCGAACCCACAACCGUAUGGUUCCUAGUUGGAUUUGUUUCCACUGCACCAGGACGGGAACUCCAGCGUUGUGAUAAUUUCUGCUAUACAACACAGUGAUUCAGUUACACAUGUACAGAUCCAUUCUCUUUCAGAUUCUUUCCCCACAGUAGAUGAUCACAGACUAUUGGGUAGAGUUCUCUGUGCUAUACAGCAGGUCCCCAUUGGACAAUCACUCCAUAUACCUCAGUGUGCAUAUGGAAUCCCAAACCCCCAGUCCAUCCCCCCAUCCUGCACCUGUCCCCUUUGGUAACUAAGAGUUUAUUUUCAAAGUCCGUGAGUCUGUUUCUGUUCUGCAAAUAAGACCCAGAUGGGAUUCUUGAGGUCAGACAGCUUUGAGGCUCCUGACUUAAGGUGAAGUAGGAACUGCCCCAGGGCACUAGUUCCUCCCCCGGGCACUCCUGGCAGUAGGGCACUCACUGAGUUUGCGGAAGGAGGGAGAGAGGGGGGAGGAGGAGAGAGAGAGGUCAUUUUCUCUCUUCUGUCCUCUGCACUCAGGGUCAUAUUUUAUUUAUUUAUUUAUUUAUUUUUUGUCUUUUUGCCUUUUCUAGGGCUGCUCCCCCUGGGAACCUCCAUAUGCCACAGGAACGGCCCAAGAAAGGGCAAAAAUAAAUAAAAUAAAUAAAUAAAUAAAUAAAUAAAUAAAUAAAAAUAUCACUCGUGGCUGUGACAGAACAAGUGACCUUGAUGAGCAUGGGGACUACGGCUGUGCCUGGCACUUACUAGACACUCAGUGAAUAUUUUUGAAAGACUGCCCAAAUGCUUACUUGAAAAGGCCCAGGGGUGGAACUGUGGCAAAAAUAGGUCUCUGUCCAUUCAUUCAUUCAGUUAAUAUGGUGGCGCGUGGCGGUUCGUUCCGUGUCAUUUGAUUUUAGUCAGCUGUUUCUUGGAAAAAGGUGAAGGUCCUACCCCGUGUGUGAGGACCUCGGUUGAGAAGGGAAAACAGACAGGUGCACAGCACGGUGCCCCAGGGAGGGAAACAGGACGCUUUCUGCCCCCUUUCAUUUUGGGUGUUUCCUUUUCGAGCCGGUGAUGCUUCCCCUAAAUUCUUGCUGUGGGUUCCUCUUGUGUCUCGGGCAGAAGGGACAGUGGGAAGAGAAAGCAUCUUCGGGCGGAGCUUGGUCUGCCUUUCAGGACCGGUCCUGGGACACGCCUGCUCCUUUUUGUCUGAAACGGAGGACCCACCUUUACCGGAGUAAAGAGUGUCUUGCCGGCUGCCUUUUUCUGACUGUUGACCUGUUUCCACUGUUCUGAGGACAGCCUGAAUGGUGCGGGCACCUUGCGUUCAGAGAUGAACAAAGACAACCUCGGUCCACCUGCACCUCCCGCCUGGUGGACGAGACACAGGGUCCAUAAGCAGCCCAGAAAGAUAAGAGCACUCAGCUGGGGACACGGUGUUGAAACUGCCCUGUAGGGCUCCUGUCUGAGGAUAUUAUACCUUCUAUAUUUUAUUAACUUGUCAGACACAUUCUGACAUCAGUUCCUCAUAUGCAUAGAGUUUUCAUGUCUAUCUUUUCUUUUUUUUAAAAGAAGAUAUUCAGGGAGUUCCCUGGUAGCUUAGUAGGUUAAGGAUCUUGCCUUGUCACUGCUGUGGCUCAGGUUUGAUUCCUGGUCCAGGAACUUCUGCAUGCUGCCAAAGCCACCCCUAAAACAACAACAACAACAUUUUAACUAAAGAUACUCAUUUGUUCAUUCAUAAACAUUUAUCAAGCAUGUGCUAUGUGCCGGGUCCUCAGAGAGACACAGAAAUAAGUAAAGCUUGGCCUUGGAACUUGAGGACCUUGUAGUCCAACCAGAGAGAAAGACAAGUCCAUUACGGAGAGCCCUGAGUAUGUGCUGUAAUGCGGAAUGUAGAGGAGAUACAUUAUUUUUAGUCUAUCUCACAUAUAAUUUUCUCAUUUAGAAUAUAUUAUUACACCCAUAUAUAUUAUAUGUCAUUUUAGUCGCGUAUCUUAUAUAUAUUCUGUUCUCAUCUGGGUUAUAUGUAAUUAUACAUAUUAUUUUUGUUUUUAAAUGUUAUAUUUUCUCUUUUCUUCUCAAAAGAGAUGUUAUAUAUCUACUGUGCCUUUGAGUUUUAUCUUUUUUAACAAUAUAAUCUUUUUUUCCAGAGGUGCCAUUUCCAUGUGAUUUUAAUAGUGGUUCUUUUUCGAUGGAGAAAAUUUAGAAAAUAUAGGAGAAAUAAAUACA